AGUGAACGCUGGCGGCAGGCCUAAUACAUGCAAGUCGAACGGCAGCACAGCAGAGCUUGCUCUGUGGGUGGCGAGUGGCGGACGGGUGAGGAAUACAUGGGAAUCUGCCCAGUCGUGGGGGAUAACGUAUGGAAACGUACGCUAAUACCGCAUGCGCUCUACGGGGGAAAGUCGGGGACCGCAAGGCCUGACGCGAUUGGAUGAGCCCAUGUUCGAUUAGCUAGUUGGCGGGGUAAAGGCCCACCAAGGCGACGAUCGAUAGCUGGUCUGAGAGGAUGAUCAGCCACACUGGAACUGAGACACGGUCCAGACUCCUACGGGAGGCAGCAGUAGGGAAUAUUGGACAAUGGGGGCAACCCUGAUCCAGCCAUGCCGCGUGAGUGAAG
This 386-nucleotide ribosomal RNA is filed under the name uncultured bacterium. RNAcentral's name for it is "bacterial SSU rRNA". It matches the Rfam family "Bacterial small subunit ribosomal RNA", at positions 29 to 410 of the family's 1533-position model. The record is from RNAcentral.